AACGAACGCUGGUGGUAGGCCUAACACAUGCAAGUCGAACGAGAAUUUGGUGCUUGCACCAAAGGACAGUGGCGCACGGGUGAGUAACGCGUGGGAAUUUACCUUAGAGUGGGGGAUAACAGUUGGAAACGACUGCUAAUACCGCAUACGCCCUUCGGGGAAAGAUUUAUUGCUCUAAGAUAAGCCCGCGUUAGAUUAGUUAGUUGGUGAGGUAAUGGCUCACCAAGGCGACGAUCUAUAGCUGGUUUGAGAGGAUGAUCAGCCACACUGGGACUGAGACACGGCCCAG
Molecule: ribosomal RNA, 289 nt
Filed under: uncultured bacterium
Lineage: Bacteria
Description: partial 16S ribosomal RNA
Rfam family: Bacterial small subunit ribosomal RNA
Source: RNAcentral